AUUGAACGCUGGCGGCAGGCCUAACACAUGCAAGUCGAACGAGUGGCGGACGGGUGAGUAAUGUCUGGGAAACUGCCUGAUGGAGGGGGAUAACUACUGGAAACGGUAGCGAAUACCGCAUACCAUCAGAAGUGCCCAGAUGGGAUUAGCUGGGUGGUGGGGUAACGGCUCACCAAGGCGACGAUCCCUAGCUGGUCUGAGAGGAUGACCAGCCACACUGGCACUGAGGCACGGUCCAGACUCCUACGGGAGGCAGCGGUGGGGAAUAUUGCACAAUGGUCGCAAGCCUGAUGCAGCCAUGCCGGGUGUAUGAAGAAGGCCUUCGGGUUGUAAAGUACUUUCAGCGGGGAGGCGUUACCCGCAGAAGAAGCACCGGCUAACUCCGUGCCAGCAGCCGCGGUAAUUC
This 406-nucleotide ribosomal RNA is filed under the name uncultured bacterium. RNAcentral's name for it is "partial 16S ribosomal RNA". It matches the Rfam family "Bacterial small subunit ribosomal RNA", at positions 30 to 526 of the family's 1533-position model. The record is from RNAcentral.